AUGGAGACAAGCAAAAUCUUUGUGUUCCAGGAGAACGCUGAAUUAUAUCAGAGAGAUGAGAGAUUAAUCAUUUCUUCAUGUUCAUCAUGUCUCACUUGUUUUUACUUGAUGAAGUGGAAAGAAUAUUUUCCAAAUAAAGAAUUAGUGCAGCCACCACAGUUUGAAGCAGAGGUUCUAUAUUACCCAAAGCCAAAUAUUCUUUAUGAUUAUUUGUCAUGGAGACAAGCAGAAUGCCACAACAGAAGCCAGUACAACACAUGCUUUUGGAUACUAGUGAAGUCCGGAAAAGGUGAAGGUGAAGACAAAGCUCAUGAGAUACUGAAGGGAACAUUAUCAACGGACAAGAACGAUUUGUUUUUCAGCGGUUUCGGAUGA
Molecule: ribosomal RNA, 375 nt
Filed under: Triticum aestivum (bread wheat)
Lineage: Eukaryota; Viridiplantae; Streptophyta; Magnoliopsida; Poales; Poaceae
Description: partial small subunit ribosomal RNA
Source: RNAcentral